This is a long non-coding RNA of Zea mays, 641 nucleotides long. RefSeq lists it as uncharacterized. Lineage: Eukaryota; Viridiplantae; Streptophyta; Magnoliopsida; Poales; Poaceae. The record is from RefSeq and is a predicted model, not a curated record. The transcript is spliced from 2 exons.
GUGUACGCCAACCAAAUUUUGAGAGUUCGUUUUGGUAGAAUGAGCUUGCAAGUACAAGCCAUUGCCUAGGACUAGAGACCAAUCAUAUAUAACUGUCCAUAUUAUAUAAUUAAUCGCAAACUCAAACACAUAGUUCAGCCUGGGUCACACAUCAGUGACCCAAGGAUCUCGUUGCCACCUGAUGUCGGGCCAAACUAACGCCAUGGUCGUGUGUUAUAGUUUGCGAUUUUUAAGAGAUUGAACUGUUCAAUAUCCAAAUUGCCAAGUCAAUGGAGGAUGCUUUGCACUCCGCGCAGCACUUUGACUUCUUAUUUUACAGGUACUCUUUCGAGGGACUUAUUGGUGUCGGUUCUGGGGGCUUCUCCAAAGGCGUGAAGAGGACAUCGUAAGGAUCAAAGUUGCCUGCAGGACCCUGGAAGUCUCAAUGAUGCAAAUCUUCGCCAAGCACGGUUGGAGCUUUAGAAAUAGAAUAACUAGUGGCUAGUUAUUCAAUCCCAACUGUGCUUGGGUCUUUUUGCCGCUUGUGGCUUCUUUUAUUUUCUGGCAGUACUACUGUUUUUUGGACGGCCGUCAUCUUUGAUGUAGGCCGGGAACCUUUUUCCCAUUAUCUAAAAAAAACAGUUUGACACUCUAUUUAUAUA